UGAUUUAUUCCUGAUACAUAAAUUGUGUAUGUAAUCAUUGCAAAUGGUCAAAGGUGAUUACUGAUGUGUAGAAAUAGGUAUAAAAAGAGCAACGUGUUUGAAAACAACAUUAAUCCAACUUUAUGGGCAACAGUGUAUAUUUAAGC
Long non-coding RNA from Sphaeramia orbicularis (orbiculate cardinalfish), 146 nucleotides. RefSeq lists it as uncharacterized. NCBI's taxonomy places the organism in Eukaryota, Metazoa, Chordata, Actinopteri, Kurtiformes, Apogonidae. The transcript is spliced from 3 exons. The record is from RefSeq and is a predicted model, not a curated record.